Molecule: ribosomal RNA, 459 nt
Filed under: uncultured bacterium
Lineage: Bacteria
Description: partial 16S ribosomal RNA
Rfam family: Bacterial small subunit ribosomal RNA
Source: RNAcentral
CCUACGGGCGGCAGCAGUGAGGAAUAUUGGUCAAUGGUCGGGAGACUGAACCAGCCAAGCCGCGUGAGGGAUGAAGGUACAGAGUAUCGUAAACCUCUUCUGUCAGGGAACAAAGGCGGGGACGUGUCCCCGGAUGAGUGUACCUGUAGAAAAAGCAUCGGCUAACUCCGGGCCAGCAGCCGCGGUAAUACGGAGGAUGCGAGCGUUAUCCGGAUUUAUGGGGUUAAAGGGGUGCGCAGGCGGUCUGUUAAGUCAGCGGUCAAAGCCCGGGGCUCAACCCCGGCCCGCCGUUGAAACUGGCAGUCUCGAGUUGGAGAGAGGUAUGCGGAAUGAGCGGUGUAGCGGUGAAAUGCAUAGAUAUCGCGCAGAACUCCGGUUGCGAAGGCAGCAUGCCGGCUCCACACUGACGCUGAGGCACGAAAGCGUGGGUAUCGAACAGGAUUAGAUACCCGAGUAGUC